Molecule: small nuclear RNA, 150 nt
Filed under: Mus pahari (shrew mouse)
Lineage: Eukaryota; Metazoa; Chordata; Mammalia; Rodentia; Muridae
Description: snRNA (MGP_PahariEiJ_G0033633.1)
Source: RNAcentral
AUAGCAGGAUAGCGAAGGUGGUUUUCCCAGAGGAAGACAUCAUCCAAUGCACUCCAAAUGUGCUGACCGAUCCCUGCAUUUUCCACAUAUGUAGGAAAUUCAACUACACAAUUUAUGGCAGUGGGGGGGGGCUUCAUUCGCAUUCUUCCA